This 363-nucleotide long non-coding RNA is filed under the name Homo sapiens (human). RNAcentral describes it as "non-protein coding lnc-ANKRD1-3:1". The record is from RNAcentral. Lineage: Eukaryota; Metazoa; Chordata; Mammalia; Primates; Hominidae.
GGUCUUGAGAUGGGGAGGUUAGCCUGCAUUAUCCAGGUGGGUCUUAAAUGCAAUCAUAAAUGUCCUUACAAAGCAGAGGCCGAGAGAGAUUUGACACAGAAGGAGAAGGUAGCAUAACCACUGAAGCAAGACAUUACGCUGCUGGCUUUGAAGAUGGAGGAAGGGACCACAAGCCUGAUUGUAUAUUUAGAAAACCCUGUCAUCUCAGCCCAAAAUCUUCUUAAACUGAUAAGCAACUUCAGCAAAGUCUUAGGAUAUAAAAUCAAUGUGCAAAAAUCACAUGCAUUCCUAUACACCAAUAAUAGACAGAGAGUCAAAUUAUGAGUAAACUCCCAUUCACAAUUGCUACAAGAGAAUAAAAUA